GUCCACGCCGUAAACGAUGGAUACUAGCUGUUGGGGCAACUUCAGUGGCUAAGCGAAAGUGAUAAGUAUCCCACCUGGGGAGUACGUUCGCAAGAAUGAAACUCAAAGGAAUUGACGGGGCCCGCACAAGCGGUGGAGCAUGUGGUUUAAUUCGAUGAUACGCGAGGAACCUUACCAAGGCUUAAAUGUAGAUUGACAGGACUGGAAACAGUUUUUUCUUCGGACAAUUUACAAGGUGCUGGCAUGGUUGUCGU
This 254-nucleotide ribosomal RNA is filed under the name uncultured bacterium. Its description in RNAcentral is "partial 16S ribosomal RNA". It matches the Rfam family "Bacterial small subunit ribosomal RNA", at positions 793 to 1055 of the family's 1533-position model. The record is from RNAcentral.